AUGAACGCUGGCGGCGUGCCUAAUACAUGCAAGUCGAGCGAACGGACGAGAAGCUUGCUUCUCUGAUGUUAGCGGCGGACGGGUGAGUAACACGUGGAUAACCUACCUAUAAGACUGGGAUAACUUCGGGAAACCGGAGCUAAUACCGGAUAAUAUUUUGAACCGCAUGGUUCAAAAGUGAAAGACGGUCUUGCUGUCACUUAUAGAUGGAUCCGCGCUGCAUUAGCUAGUUGGUAAGGCAACGGCUUACCAAGGCAACGAUGCAUAGCCGACCUGAGAGGGUGAUCGGCCACACUGGAACUGAGACACGGUCCAGACUCCUACGGGAGGCAGCAGUAGGGAAUCUUCCGCAAAGGGCGAAAGCCUGACGGAGCAACGCCGCGUGAGUGAUGAAGGUCUUCGGAUCGUAAAACUCUGUUAUUAGGGAAGAACAUAUGUGUAAGUAACUGUGCACAUCUUGACGGUACCUAAUCAGAAAGCCACGGCUAACUACGUG
Molecule: ribosomal RNA, 496 nt
Filed under: uncultured bacterium
Lineage: Bacteria
Description: partial 16S ribosomal RNA
Rfam family: Bacterial small subunit ribosomal RNA
Source: RNAcentral